GACGAACGCUGGCGGCGUGCUUAACACAUGCAAGUCGAGCGGAAAGGCCCUUUCGGGGGUACUCGAGCGGCGAACGGGUGAGUAACACGUGAGUAAUCUGCCCUUGGCUUUGGGAUAACCACCGGAAACGGUGGCUAAUACCGGAUAUGACGGGCUCCGGCAUCGGGGUUCGUGGAAAGUUUUUUCGGCCAGGGAUGUGCUCGCGGCCUAUCAGCUUGUUGGUGGGGUAAUGGCCUACCAAGGCUUCGACGGGUAGCCGGCCUGAGAGGGUGACCGGCCACACUGGGACUGAGACACGGCCCAGACUCCUACGGGAGGCAGCAGUGGGGAAUAUUGGACAAUGGGCGGAAGCCUGAUCCAGCAACGCCGCGUGAGGGAUGACGGCCUC
Molecule: ribosomal RNA, 388 nt
Filed under: uncultured bacterium
Lineage: Bacteria
Description: bacterial SSU rRNA
Rfam family: Bacterial small subunit ribosomal RNA
Source: RNAcentral